UCGGCUAGUGGGGGAAGUCGAAGGGGGAAACAGAGCAAGAAAGUGACGAGAUAGAGAGAGAGAGGAAGUGUCGAGAUAGCAAGGAAGAGCUCCACUUUGCUCUCCGAUUCGAUGGUUGACCAAUUCAGCUCCCUGCUCUUCCUCCGACCAGCAGCAGAGCCCUCCCCGAAAGAGAGGAAUCGAGACUCCAAGAUUGUAGUAUUCGGAGUUUUAUAGAGAGAGAGCCGAGCUUCCGAAGUUGGGUCAUCGCUUAGUCUGGGUCUGUUUUGCAACAGCCUGCACCAGCAAUUUCAGGAGGCUCGUCAGGCUCGCUCAGACAUCGGAUUGCAGUGAUUUUUGUUCGUAUAGAUUCGUGUUUGAAUCUACUAUUUUAGGGAUCGUGGAGACUGAAUCCUUGCACUCUAAAGGGUUGCCUCAGUUUGCUAUCUUUCUAGGGAUUUCGAUAAGCUUCUAGCUGCGCAGGAGAAUCAUUUUUGAUAUCGGGGAUCAGCUCGGAGAACUAGGUAGGGACUUUAGUUAUUUGAUAGGUAUUCUUUUUGUAUAAAAUGUAUUUGAAAAUGUUACGACCUGAAACUUUUGUCUAGUUGGUUUAGUGAUGUAGCUCUGCUGGA
Punica granatum (pomegranate) is the source of this 611-nucleotide non-coding RNA. The record is from RefSeq and is a predicted model, not a curated record. NCBI's taxonomy places the organism in Eukaryota, Viridiplantae, Streptophyta, Magnoliopsida, Myrtales, Lythraceae.